GGAUGCUGGCCAGUCUCCUGACUGGGGACAGAACCAUCUCAAGGAGAAAAGUAAUUUUCUUGAAUGUGAAAAUUUAAAAUGGAGAGGAAAUAACACUUUCUACAACCCUACCCUCCCUGCCUUUAAAACAAGAAUGAAGAAGUGAAAACUGAGGCCAAAGGAUUUCAAACACAGCAGGACAAGAAAGCCCCCAGUUAUAGAAGUCCCUUCCUGCCCAAAACUCCUCA
This is a long non-coding RNA of Chelonoidis abingdonii (Abingdon island giant tortoise), 227 nucleotides long. RefSeq lists it as uncharacterized. NCBI's taxonomy places the organism in Eukaryota, Metazoa, Chordata, Testudines, Testudinidae. The record is from RefSeq and is a predicted model, not a curated record.